RNAcentral lists this long non-coding RNA (1009 nucleotides) under Helianthus annuus (common sunflower). The record is from RNAcentral. Lineage: Eukaryota; Viridiplantae; Streptophyta; Magnoliopsida; Asterales; Asteraceae.
GGUUCGUUUUCUCAUCAACAAUCAAUGAAAUCAUCAUGUUUACUGGUGAAUUGAUCAAUUGAAACUGAUUUUAAACUUGAAUUGAAGCAACCCCUUCGUUUCCAGACCCACCCCCUUAUUACUCGGCAAUUGAACGCCUUUGUUGGUGGAGAAGGUUCGUUGGCAUCUGGGUUGGGUCGAAAUCUCUUGCACAGUCUUCUUCUUAAGCGAUCUGAAAUGGUUUGUGGGACAGUUCUUAUGUAGUUAUAGCACCCUACCAAUGUAUGCACUCGAUACGCAGAUAGAAGAGUUCUGUGAUAGUGUGAUGAUACAAAGAAGAGUUCUAUCAAGGUUUUGAUCUCUAUGUAUACCUCUGGAUAGUUGGUUUUGAUCUCUAUGUAUACCUCUAGAUAGUUGGGUUUAUGGUAGUGGUUCCGUGUUCUGAGUACGGGAAUCGAGUUAAAAAGCUGGAUUCUAUAAACCUCUACGGUGAUAAAGAUCAAUGGGUCUGGAUUGGCGGAAAAGAUAGCGAUUUUUCAGUUGGAGUGGUCAAAAGGUUCUUGAGAAGUGAGAGAGAUUGCAGUAACAACUUUGUUCUCAAGUGGUCGAAACAGGUGCCAAAGAAAUGCAGUAUAUUGGUGUGGUGUGCUGAGAUGGGGAGGAUCCCGACAGUUGACGUGCUUUUAAAACGAAACUGCUACAACGGAGAAGACAUGUGUGUUUUAUGUGAAGACAGCUGAUCAUCUCUUCUGUAGCUGUUACGUGGCUGCUGUGUUAUGGAAUCGGGUCAGUCUCUGGUGCAAGAUAAGUCCCAUCUACGCUUUUUUGGUUAAAGACUUUCUGGAAAUUUACAAGUACGCAGGUUUGAAGAAGCAUGAGGAAGAUAUCAUGCAUGGUAUUAUUAUGGUCGGCUGCUGGAUCUUAUGGAAAAGGAGGAACAACAUCAGGUUUUCUGGCAUUAGCGUCUAUAUUGGUAAAAUCUUUCAAGAUGUUAUGGUGCUUGGUUUUUUUUGGUAUAGGAGUAGAUCUA